Molecule: ribosomal RNA, 460 nt
Filed under: uncultured bacterium
Lineage: Bacteria
Description: partial 16S ribosomal RNA
Rfam family: Bacterial small subunit ribosomal RNA
Source: RNAcentral
CCUACGGGAGGCAGCAGUGAGGAAUAUUGGUCAAUGGACGAGAGUCUGAAGCAGCCAAGUAGCGUGAAGGAUGACUGCCCUAUGGGUUGUAAACUUCUUUUAUAUGGGAAUAAAACGUUCCACGUGUGGGCUUGUGUAUGUACCAUAUGAAUAAGGAUCGGCUAAAUCCGGGCCAGCAGCCCCGGUACUACGGAGGAUCCGAGCGUGAUCCGGAUUUAUUGGGUUUAAGGUGCGCGCCGGUGGAUUGUUAAGUCAGUUGUGAAAGUUUGCGGCUCAACCGUACAAUUGCAGUUGAAACUGGCAGGCUUGAGUACAGUAGAGGUGGGCGGAAUUCGUGGUGUAGCGGUGAAAUGCUUAGAGAUCACGAAGAACUCCGAUUGCGAAGGCAGUUCACUGGACAUCAACUGACACUGAGGUGCGAAAGUGUGGGUAUCAAACAGGAUUAGAUACCCUAGUAGUC